CAUGCACCGGUGGGGUCCCUCGGCCUGGCCUGUGCCCUCUCGCAAUCCAGGACCCUUUGGGGGAUGUCAGAGAGUUGGUUUCGACCUGAUCGCCGCAGGCCAGGCCAAGGGACCCCACCGGUGCAUG
RNAcentral lists this microRNA precursor (127 nucleotides) under Myotis brandtii (Brandt's bat). RNAcentral's name for it is "mir-9193 microRNA precursor family". It matches the Rfam family "mir-9193 microRNA precursor family". Lineage: Eukaryota; Metazoa; Chordata; Mammalia; Chiroptera; Vespertilionidae. The record is from Rfam by way of RNAcentral.